ACAAGUGCUGAUUUUGAUAUUACUUUUGAUUCAUGACUGAAAUGUAUCAGUUUACUAGCAUCAAGACAUAUGCUGAUUUUGAUAUUAGUUUUGAUUGCCGAGGGCAUUGCAGGAAUCAAAUUCCAGCCCAUCGAGAGAGUGGAUCAUCAAGUGUUAGAGGAUGAGGAGGUGGAUAUGCCAGAGCCAGACACAUAUUGGGAACAAAAGUUGCCAAUUGAGUAUGAAGACUGAUACAAAUGUGAUGCUACAAUGAUUCGGAAGGAAAAGCCCAGGUUAUUACAGGUUUUUUCCAAGAGGGACAAAAGGGUAGAAAAGGAAAUCAACAAAGGGGUAGAAAAGGAAGGUGGCUAGAAGUCUGUUCAGGGAGAGAAGCUAAUAAAUAGAGGGAAUAUUUCUGUGAGAGAUGUCAAGUAUUUCCUUUGCAUUGUAAUUGGCUCCUGAUUAUUUAUUCAGUGAGAGAGGGCUUACGUUUAUCCCUGGGCAAUCUUAUGAUUGUGGAACAUUCUUCAUUUUGAUUCUAUAUAUCAAUACAUCAGCAUCAUUUCUUUCA
Lactuca sativa (garden lettuce) is the source of this 550-nucleotide long non-coding RNA. RefSeq lists it as uncharacterized. Lineage: Eukaryota; Viridiplantae; Streptophyta; Magnoliopsida; Asterales; Asteraceae. The record is from RefSeq and is a predicted model, not a curated record.